This 497-nucleotide ribosomal RNA is filed under the name uncultured bacterium. Its description in RNAcentral is "partial 16S ribosomal RNA". It matches the Rfam family "Bacterial small subunit ribosomal RNA", at positions 28 to 507 of the family's 1533-position model. The record is from RNAcentral.
GAUGAACGCUGGCGGCGUGCCUAAUACAUGCAAGUCGAGCGAACAGACGAGGAGCUUGCUCCUCUGACGUUAGCGGCGGACGGGUGAGUAACACGUGGAUAACCUACCUAUAAGACUGGGAUAACUUCGGGAAACCGGAGCUAAUACCGGAUAAUAUAUUGAACCGCAUGGUUCAAUAGUGAAAGACGGUUUUGCUGUCACUUAUAGAUGGAUCCGCGCCGCAUUAGCUAGUUGGUAAGGUAACGGCUUACCAAGGCAACGAUGCGUAGCCGACCUGAGAGGGUGAGCGGCCACACUGGAACUGAGACACGGUCCAGACUCCUACGGGAGGCAGCAGUAGGGAAUCUUGCGCAAUGGGCGAAAGCCUGACGGAGCAACGCCGCGUGAGUGAUGAAGGUCUUCGGAUCGUAAAACUCUGUUAUUAGGGAAGAACAAAUGGGUAAGUAACUAUGCACGUCUUGACGGUACCUAAUCAGAAAGCCACGGCUAACUACGUG